CGGCGGCGGCGGCGUCCUGGAGGGCCCGGUGGCGGCGGUGGCGUCUUGGAGGGCAAUGGCUGAAGGUUCAAUUAAGUUGACCUCUCCUUCAGGCGACUUAAAGGGAGACCAGAUGUGCGGCAGCUGGGUGUCAUGGUGCAGAGACCCAACGCUGUACUGAACUACACCAGUGUCCUACUCCCAUAAACCCUGAGGAUCCCUGGAUGGCUACACCAGCACAUUAAUCCACACCCAACAUCAACACACAGUGCACUCUAUAGAGCUCGUAAGUCCGCCCCUUGCGGCGGGACCUCGUGAGAUCGUAAGAUAUGACUGGGUUUCAAUGGAGAGAAAGUAAUUAUUUUCUCCAUUUUAUGUUGCACCACAUUUUGGGGGAAGAAUGUUUGAAUCAAUAUUUGUCAUUUAUUGCUGUACUCCAUAUCUGUAAUCCCAGCUGUUGUAUUUUAACACGGUAGCUGGGAACCCUCUUUAUAGGGAGCGACUAGAGGGACGAGGCUGGAAGCAAACCUGAGCCUGGAUCUUAACCUUCUUUCUAAACCUAACGCCGCAAUUUAACAAAUAAAGUGGAGCCUAAAGUAACUUGACUCUCUUACCUAAACUUGCUUGCCUAAACUCGCUUGUCUAAACUCGCUUGCAUAAAACCUAAACUCGCUUGCAUAAAACCUGAACUUGCUUGGCUAAACUUGCGUCGCUUGCCUAAUACCUGAACUUGCUUGCCUGAACUUGCUUGCCUGAACUCGCUUGCCUGAACUCGCUUGCCUGAACUCGCUUGCCUGAACUCGCUUGCCUGAACUCGCUUGCCUGAACUCGCUUGCCUAAUACCUGAACUCGCUUGCCUGUACUCGCUUGGCUAAACUCGCUUGCAUAAAACCUAAACUCGCUUGCAUAAAACCUAAACUCGCUUGCAUAAAACCUAAACUCGCUUGCAUAAAACCUAAACUCGCUUGCAUAAAACCUAAACUCGCUUAGCUUGACUCGCUGGCUAAUACUGGAAAGCUAAUACCUGAAGUCGCUUGGCUAAUACCUGAAGUCGCUUGGCUAAUACCUGAAGUCGCUUGGCUAAUACCUGAAGUCGCUUGGCUAAUACCUGAAGUCGCUUGGCUAAUACCUGAAGUCGCUUGGCUAAUACCUGAAGUCGCUUGGCUAAUACCUAAACUUGCUUGUCCAAACACGUUACACAAAGUUAACCAUCCAUAAUCUUUAACCCAAACCAGACUUGUCCCUGGGUCGCUCCACUUUAAUUUAGAAGUUUCUUCUUUUACCUCAUCUGCGUUUUGAGUUUCAUUCUUUGAGGGCUUGAAGUGCUUUGGAGGAUAUUUGAACCUUUGUUUGCCGCAUCAAUAAACAUGCUUUAUCUUUACCUAUUUUGUUUUGGAUUGCAUUUCUAUGUGUAAUCCGGCCAAAUGUUCAGUGUCCUUGCAUGUAAUGUCUAUGGUCUGACGAUAAUCUGACCUCUUCAUGAAGCAGAAUGUGUGUGAAUGUUGUCCCGUGAGCUCCAGGCUCUCUGUGGGCCUGUCAACGUCUCUUUAGCAAAAGGUUGGAGAGUGAAAUUCAUUUUUGGGCCAUUUUCAUGUGUUCCUGAGUAUUUCAGACCUGUGGUGUUUCACAUGAGACCUUAAUGGGAACUUUUCUUUUUCUGCCUGCAUACGUAAUGCCUACAUUAGUAGGGUGAUCACUGUUGAUCCCAAUAUUGAUCAUUAACCACCUCAUUCUUUGGGAUUACAAAUCAUGUAAUUUAUGAGCAUAUUUGCAAAUGCCUCCAAAUAUCAGAUUGUGUAAAAACGAAUGAAAUGUAACCUGCUUGAUUUAAAGAAAAUAAAACAUCCAAAUAUUAUAAACCUGUUUUGUGUUGCUCUCUUAG
Gadus chalcogrammus (walleye pollock) is the source of this 1861-nucleotide long non-coding RNA. RefSeq lists it as uncharacterized. The transcript is spliced from 3 exons. Lineage: Eukaryota; Metazoa; Chordata; Actinopteri; Gadiformes; Gadidae. The record is from RefSeq and is a predicted model, not a curated record.